This is a long non-coding RNA of Leptonychotes weddellii (Weddell seal), 522 nucleotides long. RefSeq lists it as uncharacterized. Lineage: Eukaryota; Metazoa; Chordata; Mammalia; Carnivora; Phocidae. The record is from RefSeq and is a predicted model, not a curated record.
UAGAGCUUGCUGGGAAACCAGGAGGCCCGCGGGUGGGCGGAGGCCGCGAGGGUCGCGGCAGGCCCCGCCCAUCCCUCAGUCGCAGCGCGUCUUGGAGGCCCCCGGGGAGAGCUAGGGGAGAGUCGCUAAGUGCGGUUCCGGCUGUCGCAAACUCAGAAAUAGCCUUUCAGCUGUUUGCUGCCAAAGUGGCCUUUCAUUCAUUGGGUAGAUUCUCCCAGCCUGUAUGAUCAUACUUAGAGCCUGAAGUGCUGAAGUGCAGGUGUUCAAGAAGUUCUGCGUUUGAUCGUGAAGUGCCUAAUUAAGCAGCAGAGGCGGAAGGGAAAUGAAGGCUUCACCCCAGGCGGGGCUUGUAAACCAAUACGGAAAGGAGAGGCUUAAUGGAGUCUGAAAACCGUGGAAGAGUUUGACCAGUUAAAUGGGCUGGCUGGAGUAUCGGUGAUUUAGUUUAUUACUUAAGCUUGCACUUCUUUAAUCCUCCCUAGAAGGUGUAAGAUAUGGGGCGCCUGGGUGGCUCAGUUGGUG